CUAUGCGCCUUGCCAGCCCGCUCAGGUGUGCCAGCCGCCGCGGUAAUACAGAGGUCUCAAGCGUUGUUCGGAAUCACUGGGCGUAAAGCGUGCGUAGGCGGUUUCGUAAGUCGUGUGUGAAAGGCGGGGCUCAACCCCCGGACUGCACAUGAUACUGCGAGACUAGAGUAAUGGAGGGGAACCGGAAUUCUCGGUGUAGCAGUGAAAUGCGUAGAUAUCGAGAGGAACACUCGUGGCGAAGGCGGGUUCCUGGACAUUAACUGACGCUGAGGCACGAAGGCCAGGGAGCGAAAGGG
RNAcentral lists this ribosomal RNA (296 nucleotides) under uncultured bacterium. RNAcentral describes it as "partial 16S ribosomal RNA". It matches the Rfam family "Bacterial small subunit ribosomal RNA", at positions 475 to 776 of the family's 1533-position model. The record is from RNAcentral.